AGAACGAACGCUGGCGGCAUGCCUAACACAUGCAAGUCGAACGAGACCUUCGGGUCUAGUGGCGCACGGGUGCGUAACGCGUGGGAAUCUGCCCUUCGGUUCGGAAUAACAGUUAGAAAUGACUGCUAAUACCGGAUAAUGACGUAAGUCCAAAGAUUUAUCGCCGAAGGAUGAGCCCGCGUAAGAUUAGCUAGUUGGCGAGGUAAAGGCUCACCAAGGCUACGAUCUUAGCUGGUCUGAGAGGACGAUCAGCCACACUGGGACUGAGACACGGCCCAGACUCCUACGGGAGGCAGCA
This 298-nucleotide ribosomal RNA is filed under the name uncultured soil bacterium. Its description in RNAcentral is "partial 16S ribosomal RNA". It matches the Rfam family "Bacterial small subunit ribosomal RNA", at positions 26 to 353 of the family's 1533-position model. The record is from RNAcentral.